Molecule: long non-coding RNA, 600 nt
Filed under: Helianthus annuus (common sunflower)
Lineage: Eukaryota; Viridiplantae; Streptophyta; Magnoliopsida; Asterales; Asteraceae
Description: hypothetical non coding rna
Source: RNAcentral
UUUUUAAAGAUAUAACUCUUUUUAGAUCUAUUUAACAUGUGUUUAUUCAACCUGAAUACACACGAGUUUUUUUAAAGAUACGACAUUUUUAAUAUUUAGUAUACAAAAUUACAUUUAUUUAAUCUGUGUAAUACACAUUGUUUUUAAAGUUGUAAUUUUUUUUAUUUGAUAUAUAAAAUUGCAUUUAUUUAAUCCGUACAAUAUACGGGGUUCAUAAAUAUGUAACUUUCUAUUAUUUAAUAUAUAAAUUACAUUUAUUCAACCCGUAUAAUACACGGGGUUCUAACCUAGUAUAUUUCUAAAUAAACUAUGUAGUAGUAUAUAUAUCUUAAAUAAUAAUCUAAUAUAACGUGAGUCUUUUUAUUAUAGAAUUUCCUUAUCUCUAUUUUUUUUAAUCGAUUAACACUUAAAUCAAGAUAUAUGAAUAUAAAAAACAAAAGAUGAAAAGAUGAAAAGAUAUAAUUUAUGUGAUUAAAAGGAUAUAUAGGAGUCAUUCUUUAUCUCUAAUUUUUUGUUUAUCCAUUUAUUUAAGCGGGAAAAAACAAUUGAGAGCACUCCAGAAAGCGCCAUGUGUCCUUCAAAUGGUUUACUUUAUUAUAU